GAUGAACGCUAGCGGGAGGCCUAACACAUGCAAGCCGAGCGGUAUUGUUUCUUCGGAAAUGAGAGAGCGGCGUACGGGUGCGUAACACGUGUGCAACCUGCCUUUAUCUGGGGGAUAGCCUUUCGAAAGGAAGAUUAAUACUCCAUAAUAUAUUAAACGGCAUCGUUUAAUAUUGAAAGCUCCGGCGGAUAGAGAUGGGCACGCGCAAGAUUAGCUAGUUGGUGAGGUAACGGCUCACCAAGGCGAUGAUCUUUAGGGGGCCUGAGAGGGUGAUCCCCCACACUGGUACUGAGACACGGACCAGACUCCUACGGGAGGCAGCAGUGAGGAAUAUUGGUCAAUGGGUGCAAGCCUGAACCAGCCAUCCCGCGUGAAGGACGACUGCCCUAUGGGUUGUAAACUUCUUUUGUAUAGGGAUAAACCUACCCUCGAGAGGGUAGCUGAAGGUACUAUACGAAUAAGCACCGGCUAACUCCGUG
This 479-nucleotide ribosomal RNA is filed under the name uncultured bacterium. RNAcentral describes it as "partial 16S ribosomal RNA". It matches the Rfam family "Bacterial small subunit ribosomal RNA", at positions 28 to 507 of the family's 1533-position model. The record is from RNAcentral.